RNAcentral lists this long non-coding RNA (203 nucleotides) under Elaeis guineensis (African oil palm). RNAcentral describes it as "long non-coding RNA (EGUI_LNC047092)". The record is from RNAcentral. Lineage: Eukaryota; Viridiplantae; Streptophyta; Magnoliopsida; Arecales; Arecaceae.
GCUGGCACGAUGAGAAAAAUCUUCAUGAAAAUAGAGGAAAAAAUCUACACAAAUCACCAGUGAUUAAUAGAAGUUUAAGAGGAUGCUUAGGAGGAAGAUUUGAGGAUCUUAAGUAGACUAAAUCCUAGGACUUUUCACUGGAGUUUGGUAAGCCCUAGGACUCCAUCUUCUAUCGGAGUCCGAAGAAGAGGUGAUAGAUGUCC